UGUUAGCCCUGAUCGAAACGGCAUCCUUUUUAUCCUGAAUCUAGUUCAGGAUUCUGAACUAGAUUCAGGAUAAAAAGAUACAGUGUAGAGCAGGAAAUAGC
Molecule: small RNA, 101 nt
Filed under: Flavobacterium fryxellicola
Lineage: Bacteria; Pseudomonadati; Bacteroidota; Flavobacteriia; Flavobacteriales; Flavobacteriaceae
Description: Flavo-1 RNA
Rfam family: Flavo-1 RNA
Source: RNAcentral